RNAcentral lists this transfer RNA (85 nucleotides) under candidate division Zixibacteria bacterium 4484_93. RNAcentral's name for it is "tRNA-Ser". It matches the Rfam family "tRNA". From Rfam's summary of the family: Transfer RNA (tRNA) molecules are approximately 80 nucleotides in length. Their secondary structure includes four short double-helical elements and three loops (D, anti-codon, and T loops). Lineage: Bacteria; Pseudomonadati; Candidatus Zixiibacteriota. The record is from RNAcentral. RNAcentral also lists the same sequence under 1 other name.
GGAGGACUAGUCCUAAUUGGUAAGGCAGCGGACUUGAAAUCCGCCGGGCUUUAAGCCCUUGGGGGUUCGAAUCCCUCGUCCUCCG